Molecule: ribosomal RNA, 497 nt
Filed under: uncultured bacterium
Lineage: Bacteria
Description: partial 16S ribosomal RNA
Rfam family: Bacterial small subunit ribosomal RNA
Source: RNAcentral
GACGAACGCUGGCGGCGUGCCUAAUACAUGCAAGUUGAGCGAUGAAGAUUGGUGCUUGCACCAAUUUGAAGAGCAGCGAACGGGUGAGUAACGCGUGGGGAAUCUGCCUUUGAGCGGGGGACAACAUUUGGAAACGAAUGCUAAUACCGCAUAACAACUUUAAACAUAAGUUUUAAGUUUGAAAGAUGCAAUUGCAUCACUCAAAGAUGAUCCCGCGUUGUAUUAGCUAGUUGGUGAGGUAAAGGCUCACCAAGGCGAUGAUACAUAGCCGACCUGAGAGGGUGAUCGGCCAAAUUGGGACUGAGACACGGCCCAAACUCCUACGGGAGGCAGCAGUAGGGAAUCUUCGGCAAUGGACGAAAGUCUGACCGAGCAACGCCGCGUGAGUGAAGAAGGGUUUCGGAUCGUAAAACUCUGUUGGUAGAGAAGAACGUUGGUGAGAGUGGAAAGCUCAUCAAGUGACGGUAACUACCCAGAAAGGGACGGCUAACUACGUG